RNAcentral lists this ribosomal RNA (403 nucleotides) under uncultured bacterium. RNAcentral describes it as "partial 16S ribosomal RNA". It matches the Rfam family "Bacterial small subunit ribosomal RNA", at positions 30 to 526 of the family's 1533-position model. The record is from RNAcentral.
AUUGAACGCUGGCGGCAGGCCUAACACAUGCAAGUCGAGCGAGCGGCGGUCGGGAGAGUAAUGUAUGGGGACUGCACGAUAGAGGGGGAUAACUACUGGAAACGGUGGCUAAUCCGGCGUACUACCGAGUAGCCCAUCUGGGGUUAGCUAGUAGGUGGGUUAAAGGCUCACCUAGGCGACGAUCUCUAGCUGGGCUGAGAGGAUGAUCAGCCACAUUGUGCGUGAGAAACGGCCCAUGCGCCUACGGAGGCAGAAUUUGGGAAUGUUGCAAAAUUGGGACCGGCCUGAUGCAGCCAUGCAGCGUGUAGGAAGAAGGCCUGAGGUUUGUAAAGUACUUUCAGAGGGUAGGCGUCCCCCUCAAAAGAAUCACCGGCUAACUCCGUGCCAGCCGCCGCGGUAAUAC